GAUGAACGCUGGCGGCGUGCCUAAUACAUGCAAGUCGAGCGAACAGACGAGGUGCUUGUUCCUCCUACGUUAGCGGCGGACGGGUGAGUAACACGUGGAUAACCUACCUUUAAGACUGGGACAACUUUGGGAAACCGGUGCUAAUACCGCAUAAAAUAUUUAACCACAUGGUUUAAUAUUGAAAGAUGGUUUUGCUUUCCUCUAAAGUGGUCUCCGCGUCGCUUUACUUAGUUGGUAAGUUAACGCCUUACCAAGGCAACGAUGAGAAGCCGACCUAGAAGGGUGAUCGGCCACACUGGAACUGAGACCCGGUCCAGCCUCCUACGGGAGGCAGCAGUAGGGAAUCUUGCGCAAUGGGCGAAAGCCUGCCGGAGCAACGCCGCGUGGGUGAGGAAGGUCUUCGGAUCGUAAAACUCUGUUAUUAGGGAAGAACAAAUGUGUAAGUAACUAUGCACGUCUUGACGGUACCUAAUCAGAAAGCCACGGCUAACUACGUG
This 497-nucleotide ribosomal RNA is filed under the name uncultured bacterium. Its description in RNAcentral is "partial 16S ribosomal RNA". It matches the Rfam family "Bacterial small subunit ribosomal RNA", at positions 28 to 507 of the family's 1533-position model. The record is from RNAcentral.